Molecule: transfer RNA, 24 nt
Filed under: Rubus idaeus (red raspberry)
Lineage: Eukaryota; Viridiplantae; Streptophyta; Magnoliopsida; Rosales; Rosaceae
Description: partial tRNA-Leu
Source: RNAcentral
UGGUUCAAGGGCCCUUCCCCAAAA